RNAcentral lists this ribosomal RNA (468 nucleotides) under uncultured bacterium. RNAcentral's name for it is "partial 16S ribosomal RNA". It matches the Rfam family "Bacterial small subunit ribosomal RNA", at positions 28 to 507 of the family's 1533-position model. The record is from RNAcentral.
GACGAACGCUGGCGGCGCGCCUAACACAUGCAAGUCGAACGGAGUCAAGAGGAGCUUGCUUUUCUUGACUUAGUGGCGAACGGGUGAGUAACGCGUGAGUAACCUGCCUUGGAGUGGGGGACAACAGUUGGAAACGACUGCUAAUACCGCAUAAGCCCACGGAUCCGCAUGGACCUGCGGGAAAAGGAUUUAUUCGCUUCAGGAUGGACUGGCGUCCAAUUAGCUAGUUGGUGAGGUAACGGCCCACCAAGGCGACGAUUGGUAGCCGGACUGAGAGGUUGAACGGCCACAUUGGGACUGAGACACGGCCCAGACUCCUACGGGAGGCAGCAGUGGGGGAUAUUGCACAAUGGGGGAAACCCUGAUGCAGCGACGCCGCGUGGAGGAAGAAGGUUUGCGGAUUGUAAACUCCUGUCGUAAGGGACGAUAAUGACGGUACCUAACAAGGAAGCACCGGCUAACUACGUG